Molecule: ribosomal RNA, 577 nt
Filed under: uncultured archaeon
Lineage: Archaea
Description: bacterial SSU rRNA
Rfam family: Archaeal small subunit ribosomal RNA
Source: RNAcentral
GAGGAGGAGCCCGGAGAUGGGCACUGAGACAAGGGCCCAGGCCCUAUGGGGCGCAGCAGGCGUGAAACCUCUGCAAUAGGCGAAAGCUUGACAGGGUUACUCUGAGUGAUUUCCGUUAAGGAGAUCUUUUGGCACCUCUAAAAAUGGUGCAGAAUAAGGGGUGGGCAAGUCUGGUGUCAGCCGCCGCGGUAAUACCAGCACCCCGAGUGGUCGGGACGUUUAUUGGGCCUAAAGCAUCCGUAGCCGGUUCUACAAGUCUUCCGUUAAAUCCACCUGCUUAACAGAUGGGCUGCGGAAGAUACUAUAGAGCUAGGAGGCGGGAGAGGCAAGCGGUACUCGAUGGGUAGGGGUAAAAUCCGUUGAUCCAUUGAAGACCACCAGUGGCGAAGGCGGCUUGCCAGAACGCGCUCGACGGUGAGGGAUGAAAGCUGGGGGAGCAAACCGGAUUAGAUACCCGGGUAGUCCCAGCUGUAAACGAUGCAGACUCGGUGAUGAGUUGGCUUAUUGCUAACUCAGUGCCGCAGGGAAGCCGUUAAGUUUGCCGCCUGGGGAGUACGGUCGCAAGACUGAAACUUAA